This 1304-nucleotide long non-coding RNA is filed under the name Otus sunia (Oriental scops-owl). RNAcentral's name for it is "lncRNA (ENSOSUG00000008879.1)". The record is from RNAcentral. Lineage: Eukaryota; Metazoa; Chordata; Aves; Strigiformes; Strigidae.
CAACCCAUCCUGUGAUGUCCACUGCUCACCCAAACCCUUCCCAUGAUGCCCACCACCCAACCCAACCCUUCCCAUGAUCCUUUGCUCCCAGGUGAUGCGUUGGGAGGGUUCCAUGUUCCGGGAGGUGCAGCAGGUACCGGCACGGGGCUCGUUGGUCUUCCAACCGUUGGCGUUGGCCGGUCAACGUUACGUCAUCUUGGGCAACGACUACGCCCCGAGCCGUGUCUACCGCCUCGGGCCCGGUGGCCACCUGGAGCCCAUCCAGGAGCUGCUGGCCCCCACACCACGUGCCUUUGCCCCCCUCUCCGUGGGUCACCGUCACUUUUUGGUGGCCUCCAGCUUCAAAGGGGCCACCCAAAUCUACCGGCACGUCACCGUUGACUUGGGGUCUUGAGGGACCGUUGUGGUGGGACGUGAGGGACAUCAGGCGUCGUGUCAUCGUGGGGACAUCGGAUGUCACAGCGGGGAGGUGGCUGAAGGACGUGGGGACAGCGGCUGUGAUGUCAUCGUGGAUCUGGGCACUUGAGGGACACGGGGGACGUCAAACAUCCUCUGGCACCAGGACAUGGGGACACUGGUCAUCAUGUCACCGUGGAGUUGGGGGUCUGAGGGACAUCAAACAUCCCGUCAGCGUGGAGCUGGGGGCUGGAGGGACAUGGGGACAUUAAUUGGGAUGUCACCGUGGACCUGUCACCUGGGGGACAUCAUGUCAUUGAGGGUCUGAAGGACUUGGGGACAUCAGCUGUCACAUCACCAUGGAUGUGGCACCUGAGGGACAUGGGGACAUCAACCAUCCUGUCACCUCCCCGUGGACCUGGUGCCUGAGGGACAUGGGGACAUCAAUCACCAGGUCAUCGUGCACCUGGAUGCCAAAGGGAGAUGGGGACACAGGCCACCACGUCACCAAAGGUGACCUGGGGACAUGGGCCACCAUGUCCCCACGGAUGUGGGCACCUUGGGGACAUCAACCACAACAUCACUGUGGACCUCCGUGCCUGAGGGACAUGGUGACACAAGCCACCAUGUCACUGGGGACAUGAGGACCUUGUCUCCUGCUGGUGUCACCAUCGGCACCACAUUGUCCCCAACAUCUCACCCAGCAUCCCCCCAAUUCCAGUGUCACCCACCAUUGUUCCCAGUGUCACCAUUAGUCCCAUGCCACCCCUGUCCCUGGUGUCACCAUUGGCCCCACGUCAUCUUGUCACCUCCAGGUGCCACCAUCUGCCUGAUGUCCCCAAGGCCACCAUCAACCCAAUGUCACUGUUGGCCCCACAUCAUCUUGUCACCUCCCAGUGCCACCAUCU